AACUAAACAAAAUGAUAGAAUUGUAAAAUAAAUUAGAUAAAGAUAGCUUUCAUACAAUGCUUUGAAAAUACCAAAAGAAAAGAUAGGGUCACCGUACAUUUUUUUCCGGCUAAAAUACAAAAUAGGAAAAUUUCAUGUAGAAACCUUCAGAAAAUGUACUGUUUAAGAGUUACCUCCCCUUAAAAGGCAAAUUCAAAAUCAUUUAAAAACAACCAAAAAUAAUCAACACUUGUAUAAAUAUUAAUAUUUGUAAGUUAUGUUGGACAAAAUUGGAUCUUUCAAAUGAAAAUUUACAUUAGAUAACUACAUUCCUUCAUCAAAUUUUGCUAUCUUCAUAGAAAAUAUGGACCUUAGAUUCUCUGUUUUUUUUACAAUCCAAGAUGGAGGAAGACAC
This 394-nucleotide long non-coding RNA is filed under the name Mytilus galloprovincialis (Mediterranean mussel). Lineage: Eukaryota; Metazoa; Mollusca; Bivalvia; Mytilida; Mytilidae. The record is from RNAcentral.